Non-coding RNA from Sturnus vulgaris (Common starling), 664 nucleotides. NCBI's taxonomy places the organism in Eukaryota, Metazoa, Chordata, Aves, Passeriformes, Sturnidae. The record is from RefSeq and is a predicted model, not a curated record.
UAUUUCACAUAUCUCCCUUCAAGCGCUGACAGCACUUUUUUUCCAAAAAGUGACUGACUUAUAAAUAACACUUUUUUUCUACAUAUAGUACUAGGAAAUCCUCCAGUGUUAUUUGGUAGCACCAUUGUUGUUACGGUAUCAACUCAUAUUUCAAAUGCUCUUUGAUGAAGUGCUCCUUCCUUGCCCUCUAGUUGGAGUAGACUUUGGCUUUUGUGUAUUAGGCUUUGUAGCCACAAAGUAUGAUGUAAGCUGAAAGUACUUUACACCAUACUUUACGCUGUUUUAGUUGGCUGGUUUAAUGAUUGGUAGUUUUGUAUUUCCAGAGUAUUGGAUUGUUGAAAAGUAUUCUUCUACAUGUGUUUUGCAUAGAACACAACUUAGCUUUUUUGAUUCUUGCAGCUUCUCUCUUCAGAAACUUCAGAAACAGAAUAAAUACUGCAGUAGCUCUUUGUUGAAUAUUGGAUCUCAAGAAACUUGUUCUCUUGUUUAUUAAAAGAAUAUUUCAGACUAAAGAGGUGACACUACUACUGACUUGUCUACAACCAAACUUCUGCCAAGGCUGCCAGCAACUUCCACGUACACAGCCAGUUAUUUCCUGCUUUCUAUGGAAAUAAGACAUGCUUAAUCCCACUUUGCUGUUGGAAGCGUUGGCUCCCAAAUGCAA